This 202-nucleotide long non-coding RNA is filed under the name Trifolium pratense (red clover). RNAcentral's name for it is "long non-coding RNA (TPRA_LNC007484)". Lineage: Eukaryota; Viridiplantae; Streptophyta; Magnoliopsida; Fabales; Fabaceae. The record is from RNAcentral.
CACUAGUACCACCGUUACCACUACCACUAGCACAACUACCAUUCCUAUCAGAAUUACCACCAGGAAUGGAAGUGAUGCAUGCUGAGAGUACCAUUAUUGAUUAAGCUUUGAGGCCAAUUGUUAUAAGCAACAUCAACACUAGUAUUUGACAUGGUAGAUGAGGGAAUCAAGUCCAAACCUUGUUGUGAGAUAAACAUUGUAC